Molecule: non-coding RNA, 393 nt
Organism: Paramisgurnus dabryanus
Lineage: Eukaryota; Metazoa; Chordata; Actinopteri; Cypriniformes; Cobitidae
Source: RefSeq, a predicted model, not a curated record
GUGAAGGAUGUUCGUCAGUUGUCCCCACAGCAUCAGACCUUUUCACUAGAGGCAUUUCACUCUCUCCUGCUGCACUUUGCACCAAAACACACUGGGUUCUCCUUCCUUGGAAUGUACAGCCGACUUCUCCUUGCGGCCCUGCACUUUAACCACAACUCCGACAGACAAGAUGCUCAAACCAGUGAUGGUGAGGCGCGUUAUGCUGUUCGCUAACCUAGGUUCCGCAAAGGUGGCUGGGUAGUCUGUCCUGUUAAGGAAAAGCCAUCAUACACAUAUGCAUCAUCCCUCAUGGAGUCUCUUAGAGUGGAAUAUUCAAGGUCAACACAGAGUCUACGAGAAUCCAGCACUGUUCUGUUUUUAAAUGCACCUGCACCCCUCUCCAGCUCCUACCAG